CCCUCAAGGACAGUGACAGGAAAUUAUAAGCGGAAUAACAUCUUUCCUCUCUUGCUCCUGGUCAAAAGUGUUUUUAAUCACAUCCACAGAAAUCAACUUGGGACAGCCUGUUAAGAACAGGUUCUUGUGUCAACCGACAAAGCUCAUUGGCAUUUGUGAAUGAAUGCUUCUUCUGAAGCCAUGGAGACUUAACACACUCAAGUUCUUCAUCAUCGUUCAUCAUGCUGGGAUGUGGGACUCUUCAGGAACCGAAAAGGUCACGUCGAAGCCUUAGGAAGGAUGAGGUCCACGGGCUAUCACCACAGAUCCCAGAGACAGCAGGGUGAUCCAGACAUUGAUGGUGAGCCCCAGACAUCGGCAGAAGAGGCCCUGAUAGAAGCUGGAUUGGGAUUUUCUGGUUGCAUCCUUUCUCAUCAAGGAGGACCAGGCAGCAACCCUUGGUGUCUCUGAGCAGCCAGUACAGGAAGACCUGAUUCAGAGACAGAGCUCAUUCACUUAGUGCAGUAGGAAGAGUAGGGUGCCCAGGUGAGUUCCCAGACAGCUACAUCAGUGGACUACCAUAGUACCGCCCAUCUCAUGAUCACUGGUUCAUAGGGCCUCAUCCCUACUUAAUCUAGUGUUUGGCAUGGAAUCAGACACCCAGUGCUCAGUGUGUGCGGUGGACACAAAUGUGCUGCCUGACGUCUUUUCAUGAGGGAAGUGUGAUGUGAUCAGUAAGUGGCCUCCAUUUCCAGCCCCUUAAGGGUUCCUCUAGAAUCUCCCUGAGACUGUGGGGCAAUCAUAGGGUUUUGCCCUAGACUGAUCAUCUCUUCUUCUAUUAUGGGCCUUUCCUUCCUUAAGUAUAGGUUCCAAGGGUGAGACUCAAAAACAGCAUCCCAUAUCUCCUGUAGGAUCUGGGAGUCCCAUUGGCCUAUGGUCCUGUGGAGCCAGGUAAUGAGAGAUUAACCUCAUAGGCACAUGUCAUGGGAAGAGUGGCCAUUGAGAUGACAGCCAAGUUGCCACUGUGGCCUAUGGGCUUCACAUGGUAU
Molecule: long non-coding RNA, 1028 nt
Filed under: Mus spicilegus (steppe mouse)
Lineage: Eukaryota; Metazoa; Chordata; Mammalia; Rodentia; Muridae
Description: lncRNA (ENSMSIG00000003231.1)
Source: RNAcentral